CUAAACAAGGCUGAUAUAAUUAAAUUGCUACUUCUUAAGAUUUUCCUCUCUCCUUUAAAAAUGAAAGACUUGUAAAUAUAGACUGCCUAAAUGCUUCAUCAGUAAGAACUGGAGUCAUCUUACCCAACUUCUUCAAGUAACAAUUAUGUGGAAAAAGUGUGCUAAUAAGAAGACAUCCUGCUGUUGUAAACUAGAAGGAAAGACGUUCCAGUGUUAAUCUCCAAGUGUAGCACCGUUAAGCGGCAGGUAUGAGAAAUGUUCUCCUGUUUUUUGGAAACAUUUGGUCUGUUCUCAUUUGCUUGUGCUAUGAUAGUCCUCUGAUAAAGCAAGGUCAGGAAGAAAGGCAGAUCUAUUAACACUUCGCUCAACCAAGGCAGACCUUAGUACAAUGGACAGCCUUAUAGAAGUCUUCUAAGUCAUUAAUGAAAAUGUCAACUGACAUUCCCAAGGAGCCCACUACAAAGGCUGACUGGUUUAUUAUAACCUUGGCCCUACUGAAGGCCUGGCGCAGACAGCAAGUCUCCUUCUGAAACUAUGUAAGAGUAUAACACAACAGAAAAAAAGGACUAAACGCUACCUACGCUCAAUGUUCCACACCUCUUAAGCCAGUAAUCCUGUAUCGGGUGUCGGGCAGCAAAGAAAAUAAAAUAUACCUCGUCUGUGCUCCAUUUGGAAACUUUACUGGCAGGGAUUCCUGCGACAGUUGGAAGAAGUUUGCUUUGCUGCUCCCAGCGCAAGGGCAGACAUGGAAUUGGGGACUUAA
Molecule: non-coding RNA, 763 nt
Filed under: Pan troglodytes (chimpanzee)
Lineage: Eukaryota; Metazoa; Chordata; Mammalia; Primates; Hominidae
Source: RNAcentral